CUUGGUCAUUUAGAGGAAGUAAAAGUCGUAACAAGGUUUCCGUAGGUGAACCUGCGGAAGGAUCAUUAGUGAAUUGAAUAUGUUAGCGGACCUCUUCGGAGUCCCUAGCAUCAAAUCAUAUCCAUAACACCUGUGAACUGUACGGCUGUCUUGAAAACGAAAGUGAUUAGAGCGCCUGCCCAUUUUAUACAAACAUUAAAGUAACAAACGUAGUCUUAUUAUAAUCUAAUAAAACUUUCAACAACGGAUCUCUUGCUCUCGCAUCGAUGAAGAACGCAGCGAAAUGCGAUAAGUAAUGUGAAUUGCAGAAUUCAGUGAAUCAUCGAAUCUUUGAACGCACCUUGCGCUCUUUGGUAUUCCGAAGAGCAUGCCUGUUUGAGUGUCAUGAAAAUAUCAACCUUGACUUGGGUUUAGUGCUCUUGUCUUGGCUUGGAUUUGGCUGUUUGCCGCUCGAAAGAGUCGGCUCAGCUUAAAAGUAUUAGCUGGAUCUGUCUUUGAGACUUGGUUUGACUUGGCGUAAUAAGUUAUUUCGCUGAGGACAAUCUUCGGAUUGGCCGAGUUUCUGGGACGUUUGUCCGCUUUCUAAUACAAGUUCUAGCUUGCUAGACAUGACUUUUUUAUUAUCUGGCCUCAAAUCAGGUAGGACUACCCGCUGAACUUAAGCAUAUCAAUAAGCGGAGGA
RNAcentral lists this ribosomal RNA (682 nucleotides) under uncultured fungus. RNAcentral describes it as "eukaryotic LSU rRNA". The stretch from base 233 to 385 matches the Rfam family "5.8S ribosomal RNA". Lineage: Eukaryota; Fungi. The record is from RNAcentral.